Long non-coding RNA from Spinacia oleracea (spinach), 2446 nucleotides. RefSeq lists it as uncharacterized. Lineage: Eukaryota; Viridiplantae; Streptophyta; Magnoliopsida; Caryophyllales; Amaranthaceae. The record is from RefSeq and is a predicted model, not a curated record. The transcript is spliced from 4 exons.
UGGAGCAACACAAGGUUCCCAAAAAAAAGGUGUCUCAAUUAUUUUCAUUUUCCCGCUCUUCAUCUUCUUCCCUCACAUUCUGUCUCUGUCGAUCCGCGAAAUGAAGAAACCCACUACACACUCGCUCACCCAUCUCUUUUGUGCCUCUCUCCUCUUCCUUGUCGCCGCUGCGCUCUGCUGUUCCUCCUCCCCCCACCGCCGUCGCGCUCUUCUCUCCCCUUAUCUCUUCUAGACCUUACAUAUAGUUGCAGAACUAUGCAAAAUUGAUGAUGGGAGAUGAUAAAUAGCUGGCGAAGGUGAUGGGAAUAGCAGUAGGGAAAAAGAUCAGGAGCUUCUCAUACCAUCGUUGACUGUUCCGGCAUCCAUGAUGAUUCUUCUAAAGUUAGCCCUUUCGUUUAUUCUUCCCACCUUUAUGGGUGAGAGGUAGUGCAUGUUAAGAUAAUCAAGCUAGCGCUACGACUUGCGUACAUCAAUCUCAAUGGCUUCAGUCUACUAUCUCAGGUACACAUUCUGAUUUUCUGUUAGUCAUGCUAUUUAGUUUUGAUGAUUCAAUGACUCCUUCCUUGAUGUUUUGUAUGAGGUCUAUGUAAGCCUGGUAACAUCUGUAGCUUUCAUUGUUGCAAGAGCUUUGCUUUUACAGAGGAAAUCCAUGCUUUGCACAGGCUAUCAGUGCUGUGUUCGGGUUGCUUUAUUCUGGCAAUCCUGGGUCAAGGUUCAAUGUGGUUUAUCACUACCAGCCCUGAACACGAGUAUAGUUCUGAACUCUGUCUAUAUAUACUAUUAAUUAUUUUUAAGAUGAAGUUGUUUCAAUCAGAGUUGGUUUUAUGAUGUAAAAUCUGAUAAAGUCAGUAAUACCUUGUACAGAAUUUAAAUAGUGGUCUACUGCCUGAGAAUAUGAAAUAAGGGAGGAGUAACUGUUUAUCUACGAGACUACGGGUAUUAUAACAAUAUGUAGAAGGUAGUCUGUCUUAGAACCCCAAGGAUAACUUUUGGUUUGUGGGAAUUGUUUUACAUUUAUCCUUGUCUGUCUGCAAUUGCGCGUAGGUAUUAGAGCCCCAAGGAUAACUAUUGGUUUUUGGGUAUAGUUGAUUAUGACUGGUUGCAAUAGGUAUUAGGUACUUGAAUUGAGUCAUGAUUUUCUCCCAUAUUUCUCCUCGGAAGCUUUGAUUGUAACAUAUAGAAAACAUUAUAUAUGACUUCUAUAUCAUAUUAUUGAACAGUCAAAACUGGUGGAAAGUUUUGAGUAAACUUUCAGAUAAUAUUGUGUAAACACUAAAUAUAUAACUUGAAUUCUAGAUUUAGAAGAGCUUGAUUAGCCAGUUGAUGCUUGGAAGUACUCACUGAUUGGUUCAUCUUUAAAUUAUUCAAUAACUAGAUUUGAUUAAGAAAGGGAAUUAUCAUAUCAGAGAUUGCUAGAUUUUUGUCUACUUUAAUUUGAUAUUUGCUGUUAGGCUCAUUUUAUUAUUGGAAUUCUUCUUUCCUUUGCUUGUGUACUUAACUAAUACAUGUACUACUUGUAUUUGAAAUGAAAAUUAUCAAUGGUUCAAGUCAGUGUGACAAAUUUUGAAUACAGGUCAACACAAGGUCUUUUUUCUUAGCUACAUGCAUGUAAAUUAUGCUCUUGGACACCUAUUUUACUUCCCAAUAUAAUGAUUUUAUAUUCAGGUUCUCUCUGUUUUACUUCCUUCCCCCCUCUAGAUGAUCUAGAUCUGUCUUCCUUUAUGUUGGUUUGCCUCUUUAAUUCCAAGUGUGUUGCUAGAAAGCAAGUGGCUCUACUGUGUUGGAAAGUCAGAGGCUUGAACUUGUUGUUUGGUCUGUAUUAGACAGCUUGUUGCUUGACAUAAAUAUGAUUGCACUAUACAUGCAUUAGUAAGUUGAUAUCUUCUGGGUUUUUUUUCCGUGCUGCAUUAUAGCUAAAGUACGUUAAUUAAUAUAAAUCUGUUUGCAGACCGAGACUCCACCAUAAGAAUCCUCCAGCUUUUUCAGGUUUUUUGUAUUUCAUUCCUUUCCCAAGAUUGUCAUGUUUCUAGUAAAUCGUUUCUCACCUUAUCUAUUAUUGCACCUUUUAUCAAACUUUCAGGGGAGUCCAGGGAUGUUACAACAUUAAUGCAAAAAAAACUCAGUGAAGAGAACUGGAAUUGAAGGGUAUCCACUAUCCAGUUGCUUUAUAGCCAAGUACAUUUUUUAUGAUGUAUUCAACAAUCCGAGGAGCAACCCUUCACUACGGAGGAGAUAAAUGAAGUUCGAGACAAUUUGGCAAACUUCAUUACUAGUGAUUGUCUUUGAUAUUUUCUUGUAGUAAAUCAUAGAUUAUGAAUGUUAGUUUUCCAUAUGAUUGUAGUGUAAUCGAUUUUUAAAUUUACAAUUAUAUACUAUUUAAUUUAAUUAUUAUAAUUGGAUACUUGUUUUAUGUGAUUUAUGGAGGUUAACUAGUGGGCAUGGUCUA